Molecule: non-coding RNA, 2563 nt
Organism: Microcebus murinus (gray mouse lemur)
Lineage: Eukaryota; Metazoa; Chordata; Mammalia; Primates; Cheirogaleidae
Source: RefSeq, a predicted model, not a curated record
UCCCAGUGUGGCGUAUAAAUAAAGGCGAGGAGAAGGCGGUGGUCCGCCAUUUCGUGGACGCCGGGUGAGAGAGAGCAUCGGUGCGAGUGCGGCCGGAGCAGAGCGGGACGGUCCAUCGGAGCGUGAGGACUUGAGCCUCCGCACUUAAACCUUAGAUUUCGAAAUGCAUCGUGAUUCCUGUCCAUUGGACUGUAAGGUUUAUGUAGGUAAUCUUGGAAACAAUGGCAACAAGACUGAAUUGGAACGGGCUUUUGGCUAUUAUGGACCACUCCGAAGUGUGUGGGUGGCUAGAAACCCUCCCGGCUUUGCAUUUGUUGAAUUUGAAGAUCCCCGAGAUGCAGCUGAUGCAGUCCGCGAGCUAGAUGGAAGAACACUAUGUGGUUGCCGUGUAAGAGUGGAACUGUCUAAUGGUGAGAAAAGAAGUCGAAAUCGUGGCCCACCUCCCUCUUGGGGUCGUCGCCCUCGAGAUGAUUAUCGUAGGAGGAGUCCUCCACCUCGCCGCAGAGUCACCAUCAUGUCUCUUCUCACCACCCUCUGAAUCUGCAUUAGCCAGUCAACUAGCCCUUUCAGCGUCAUGUGACCAGCGCGCCCCAUUCAGCUUGGCUGGUGUCGUUUCACAUGACCCAGGCUGGCCAGUCGUCAGGUUGCACCGCCCUUUGGUUCCCGAGCAUGCUGUUUUCUCUCAGCCUUCUCUCCAACCUUAACCAAAUCGGCAGCAGCCACCUCGACCGCCCACACAUUCCUGGCCAAUCAGCUCAGCUGUUUAUUUACCAAAUGUCUUCACAACAACUACAGCAGCAGCCUUCGGCUAACAAAAAAGCAGGAAAAAUCCACAACACCCCCUUCGCCAACCAACUAAAUCCAACGCAACAUCUGGCAAAACCUUUUCAGCAAAUUCUUCCUGGCCGUCAGUCCGGCAGCCUCACCUCACCAUUUCUAGCUUGUUGAAACCCAAAACUAAUCUCCAAGAAGGAGAAGCUUCUCUCGGAGCCGGAGCAGGUCCCUUUCUAGAGAUAGGAGAAGAGAGAGAUCACUGUCUCGGGAGAGAAAUCAUAAGCCCUCCCGAUCCUUCUCUAGGUCUCGAAGCCGAUCUAGGUCAAAUGAAAGAAAAUAGAAGAUCAGUUUGCAAGAGAAGUGGUGUACAGGAAAUGACUUCAUUUGACAGGAGUAUGUACAGAAAAUUCAAGUUUUGUUUGAGACUUCAUAAGCUUGGUGCAUUUUUAAGAUGUUUUAGCUGUUCAAAUUUAUUUGUCUCUUGGAACAGUGACACAAAAGCUCUAAUUCUCUAUGGUUUGAAAUGGAUCAUAUGAGGCAUGUAAUACCAAGAAUUGUUACUUUACAAUGUUCCCUUAAGCAAAAUUGAAUUUGCUUUUUAGUUUUGCAUAAACUAAUAAACCUCUAAAUUCUGCCCAGUUGAAGUUUGGAUUUUUUUAAAAUACAGAAACAAAAUUGGCAAAAAUUGAACUAAGAUUUCCCUUUUUAUCCACAUCUGGGAUAUAGUAUACAGCUAUAGUUGAACAAGCAGUCUUUAAAAGCUGCUGUGAAACAAGCCAACAGGUAGAAAUAAAAGCUGCACUAUUAUACUAAAUUAGAGGUUUUUGAAAAAUCUAUCUAGUUUUCACCCUGGGCAGAGGUUGCCUAAUUGGUAUAGUUAGAAUCUGGUAAAUUCCAAGAAACUUUUUUUGUUUGCUUUAGAUCAUAAGUUCCUUAUGUGAUUGCUAUAUAUGAAUACAUAGCUGUUUGUAAUGUUCUUUAUUUGGAAAUUUGAGAUAAUCAAAAUACCAAUGUCCUGCCAGUUUAAGGGUACAUUGUAGAGCUGAACUUUGAGUUACUGUGCAAGAUUUUUUUUUUCCAUGCUGUCAUUUGUAAUAUGUUUUGUGAGAAUCCUUGGGAUUAAAGUUUUGGUUACAAUUGUUGUUUAACUUGAAAGCCUGUUUUUCCUUGCAAACUCAAAUCUGUGAGCUUGGUACAAAGUCCAGGUAUAACAUUCCUAUUGGAAGCCAUACUUAUAUUUUCUUGUAAAGUGCUUUUGAAUUAAUAAAAUAUUAGCAUAAUUGUGUAAUAGUCAGUUGGACCCACUGUUACCAUUGUUUUUACCCCAGGGGAAGCAUUUGGUUACACAAUGCUUAUUAUAAGAAACAUUACCUGAAAGGCACUAUGGAUUAGUCUUCUGAAGUGACAGGAAUACUUAUCACCUAAGUGAUAAUAGUUACCCAUUCUUUUAAGGAGUAGAAGCCAAUUUAAGAUCCAUGAUAGUGACCAGUAUUUUAAAGUAUAGCAGCAACCUGAUACUUAUAACCCAGAGUUGCCCGCUUAAAAGUGGCUUUUAUCUUUAGCAUGAAAAGUUUCCACAAAGUUUUAAAACUUGCUUCCAUUUUAUAAUUUGAGGUGUUGCAUGGGAAUACUAAACCAGUCCAUCAUGAUGUAAAGUUCACGAUAUGGUUCAAAUGUAAUAGUGCAGAAUUGAAUGAAUAUGGAGGCAUGCAUAACCUUCCUUUUAGAAAAUGGGAGGGGUUGUAAUUUCAAAUUUUUGUGCAAUUAGAUUAAAUCAUAAUGCAACAGU